UUAUUUAUUUGAUAAAUUUUUUAUGUUGUUUUUUAGACAAACUGACUCCUACUCGGCCAUUUAGUGACGCGACUUUUGUGUGCAAUUCUGAAAUUUUUCCUACCUUCUUGAAUGUUCCUCAAGAUCGUCUUAGGUAAUACUUAUUCGGAGUCGGUUUUUCGACACCACCCUAGGCCAUGCUGAAGCACCGCCCUCGACGGCCACUAUCAACUGUCGCCUAUAAUGAACUGAGAUCCUAAGGCUCGAACCCGCAGCUCGCUCUUCUGAUGUGAAUUAUAUAGCGCUUCCUACCUCUUCCUACAUUUUAGGAGUUUUUCACUUAGAUUAUCUACACCACACAAAUUUUCUAUGUGUUCUGCGUAUGGAAAAUGUUACUUAUGCAUUACAACUUACGCUUACAAGCAUGCAUUAAUGGAUUACUGUUGACGAUUAGUUUCUAUUGUUAUGUAUCACUACACUUCCAUUGCCUUUUUAUUAUAACUAUCUAAAGCCAAUCCACGGUGUAAUCAGUACUGUAGGUACGAAAGGUAUUGAUUGAAAUGCUCAAUAUUACCGGUAUCUUUAAUUAUUAGUCUAAAUAUUAUUAUUGAUUAGUGUUGUAAUUUUAAUGAUCUGUCAAGAUCACGACUGUGCCUUCUCGUGUUCAAGAUGACAAUCUUUUCCUCGUAGAAAAAAUACUAAUAGUUUAAUCCGUGGAUUUAGUGCAAGAUAAAUGUUAUGUGUUUAAAUAACUGCGAUCUCUAACCAAGGAAAUCUAUUCAUGUUGUCUUACAGAACUGAAUUAAUUCUAGGGUUCAUUUUGAAACUGAAUGAUUUUAAUUUUUAAUUGGAAUACGACGGCUCGUUGAAAUUAAUUGUAAUAUUAUUUAAGAGCAAUAAAUAACGAUUUUUUGAGUCGUAUAUUGGCCGUGUGUUGAAAUAAAAUUUUUUUUUCUUCAGGCUCAAUCAUUGAUUAAUUUGGUUUUCAUCAAGUUAAAUAUAUUAAUUUUUAGCGACCGUUUACAGGCAAAUGCUCUCUAUAAUUUCUAUAGUGUGUAUUGCUAUCUACUUCUGCCCUUCUGUGCGAGUUCAAGAUUAUUAAUUGUACUUGUUUGUUGUAAUUGAUGAAUUAAAAUACAAAGGCUAAAUUGCCUGCAAACUUGAUGCCAGUUAAAUGAAUGGGGCAUUUUGUCCAAAUAGCGACAAUAGAGGGACGUAGCAAUGAUAUUCUUUUGAAUAAUUGAGACCUUCCGCCUUCAGGCGACGUUACAUUUUGACCUCUGGCGCGAAAUAGCUUGAAAGCUAAAGCGCUAGCAAACCGUUCUACUACUACUACUACUACUACUACUUUGCCUGUCCCAAGCGUGUCAGGAUGAUGCACUUAAUGCAAAAAGUGCAUCAUUUUUUGACAUGGUCCCACUCAUGUGCCUGAGUGUAGGCUUGUGCUAGUCUCCUCUGUACCUCAAAAGUCGUAAUAGGGACGAUGAUGGUGAAGCUUGGGAGAAUUAAUGGGAACGAUGAUGGUUGUUAAGCUUGGGAGAAUUGGUUAAUAAAUAAAAACGAUGAAGCUUGGGAAGAAACUGACUGGCACAAUUAUCAAGUGAAAAUGUCAACGAAGGAUUUACGGUUUUUACGAUGGGAUUUUUUUCAAUUCUCACGAAUUUCAUUAACAUAACCAGUUGUUUUUAUUACUUGGGUAAUUGUUUACGGAGAUGAUAUUCGUAGGUCAUGAAACGAGGUGCUGAGAAAACUUUUGAAUAUUUCAACCUGUGCCUGCUGUUCAAUGUUUUUUUUUUGAGCAAUGCGCAUAGCUUGUGUCAAAUGUUCCGCGAGUGCCAUGAAGUUAGUUAAUAUUUAUUAGCGCAAAGACUUAUCCCUACACAAUAUCUGCAUUUGUUACUUAGAUAAUUGCAUUGUUAAACGGAUUCUAUUGUUAUCUUCAGGUACUUUAAUAGAAUUCAUAACUAUACAUCGUAGAUAUUGAUUUGUAUCACUCAUGUGUUGAAUCAUAUCACUGAUGAGUUUUCUAACGCCGAAAUUCAAUAUUUUUCUACAGAAGGUAAUUUUAAAGUUUGAAUUAGAAUUUUAAUAAAGUGAGUGUACUCAAUCUAUUAGCGAACUAUCGUAUUUGCUAUUUUCAUCCAAAUGUCUCUGCUAUAAAUCUCAUCAUGUUUUAAAUGACAUUUAAUAUUCAAUUCAAUUUCAAGGUUUAUUCCAACCUAAGUAUGGCUAAAUAUCAGUUGAAAUUGACUUCUUUACUAUCUCAAUGUAUAGAAUCUAUCUUCAUGUACCUACUUCAGUAAUUGCUCUCAAUCAGAAUUUUACUGAUAGGAUAAUUACUGAUAUUUUGUAUUGGGUUUGGUUGCUGCAAAUGUGCUUUUAACUGAAAUUAUGCCAUCAUAAUUCAUUAUACAAAUCAUAUACAGUUAUCUACAGUUAACAUCUACCCCGUCAUCUACAAAUCAUAUACAGUUAUCUACAGUUAACAUCUACCCCGUCAUCUACAAAUCAUAUACAGUUAUCUACAGUUAACAUCUACCCCGUCAUCUACAAAUCAUAUACAGUUAUCUACAGUUAACAUCUACCCCGUCAUCUACAAAUCAUAUACUGUUAUCUACAGUUAACAUCUACCCCGUCAUCUACAAAUCAUAUACAGUUAUCUACAGUUAACAUCUACCCCGUCAUCUACAAAUCAUAUACAGUUAUCUACAGUUAACAUCUACCCCGUCAUCUACAAAUCAUAUACAGUUAUCUACAGUUAACAUCUACCCCGUCAUCUUUCCGAUAACAUAGUUUGGACUGCCGAGACUAUAACUUGACUAGUUGUGUAAAGCUACAAGUUUGCGGUUUCAUUAUUAUUUUUUUUUUGCCAAAUUUAUUAAACGGAUUAAACUGUUUUGUUUGUCCUUUAAAUUUUUCUACAUCCGAAUUUUUUUAUUGCCUGUUGACAAAUUUUGAUUGAAAUCACAUUUAUCCCGAAGUCUUGUAGUGCUCUUUCGGAAUUAGAUCAUAAUUUUUCCGUAAAUUUAAUGAAAUUCAAUGAGAAGAACAUGCAGACAUUGUUAUCUAUAAGAGCUUAGUAAGCUUCUUUGAUAAGCAUAGAACUUUGUACUUUUACAAAUACAAGCGAGGGCUACAA
Hyalella azteca is the source of this 3118-nucleotide long non-coding RNA. RefSeq lists it as uncharacterized. NCBI's taxonomy places the organism in Eukaryota, Metazoa, Arthropoda, Malacostraca, Amphipoda, Hyalellidae. The record is from RefSeq and is a predicted model, not a curated record. The transcript has 2 exons.